GACGAACGCUGGCGGCGUGCUUAACACAUGCAAGUCGAACGGAAAGGCCCUGCUUUUGUGGGGUGCUCGAGUGGCGAACGGGUGAGUAACACGUGAGUAACCUGCCCUUGACUUUGGGAUAACUUCAGGAAACUGGGGCUAAUACCGGAUAGGAGCUCCUGCUGCAUGGUGGGGGUUGGAAAGUUUCGGCGGUUGGGGAUGGACUCGCGGCUUAUCAGCUUGUUGGUGGGGUAGUGGCUUACCAAGGCUUUGACGGGUAGCCGGCAUGAGAGGGUGACCGGCCACAUUGGGACUGAGAUACGGCCCAGAAUCCUACGGGCGGCAGCAGUGGGGAAUAUUGCACAAUGGGCGGACGCCUGAUGCAGCAACGCCGCGUGCGGGAUGACGGCCUUCGGGUUGUAAACCGCUUUCGCCUGUGACGAAGCGUGAGUGACGGUAAUGGGUAAAGAAGCACCGGCUAACUACGUG
Molecule: ribosomal RNA, 468 nt
Filed under: uncultured bacterium
Lineage: Bacteria
Description: partial 16S ribosomal RNA
Rfam family: Bacterial small subunit ribosomal RNA
Source: RNAcentral